Molecule: ribosomal RNA, 325 nt
Filed under: uncultured eukaryote
Lineage: Eukaryota
Description: partial 18S ribosomal RNA
Rfam family: Eukaryotic small subunit ribosomal RNA
Source: RNAcentral
CCCUUAGAUGCUCUGGGCCGCACGCGCGCUACACUGGUCGAUGCAACGAGUUUCUUUCCUUGGCCGACAGGCCUGGGCAAUCUUUGAACAUCGAUCGUGAUCGGGAUAGAUUCUUGUAAUUUUUGAUCUUAAACGAGGAAUUCCUAGUAAACGCAAGUCAUCAGCUUGCAUUGAUUACGUCCCUGCCCUUUGUACACACCGCCCGUCGCACCUACCGAUUGAAUGGUCCGGUGAAAUCUCCGGACUGGCGUGAGUCGGAGCAAUCUGACAAACACCGGAAAGUUGAUUAAACCUUACCAUUUAGAGGAAGGUGAAGUCGUAACAA